GUGCCAGCCGCCGCGGUAAUACGGAGGGGGCCAGCGUUGCUCGGAAUUACUGGGCGUAAAGGGCUCGUAGGCGGUCUGAUAAGUCCUGUGUGAAAUCCCUUGGCUCAACCAAGGAAUUGCGCAGGAUACUGUCGGACUAGAGGCCGGGAGAGGGAAGUGGAAUUCCCAGUGUAGCGGUGAAAUGCGUAGAUAUUGGGAGGAACACCGGUGGCGAAGGCGGCUUCCUGGACCGGUUCUGACGCUGAGGAGCGAAAGCUAGGGUAGCAAACAGGAUUAGAAACCCGUGUAGUCC
Molecule: ribosomal RNA, 292 nt
Filed under: uncultured bacterium
Lineage: Bacteria
Description: partial 16S ribosomal RNA
Rfam family: Bacterial small subunit ribosomal RNA
Source: RNAcentral